RNAcentral lists this ribosomal RNA (465 nucleotides) under uncultured bacterium. RNAcentral's name for it is "partial 16S ribosomal RNA". It matches the Rfam family "Bacterial small subunit ribosomal RNA", at positions 338 to 795 of the family's 1533-position model. The record is from RNAcentral.
CCUACGGGAGGCUGCAGUGGGGAAUCUUGCGCAAUGCUCGUAAGAGUGACGCAGCGACGCCGCGUGAAUGACGAAGGCCUUCGGGUCGUAAAGUUCUUUCGACAGGGAAGAAAAUGCCUAUAAGUAACUGUGUAUGUAUUGACGGUACCUGUAUAAGCAGCCCCGGCUAACUCCGUGCCAGCAGCCGCGGUAAUACGGAGGGGGCGAGCGUUGUUCGGAGUGACUGGGCGUAAAGAGCACGUAGGCGGUGUUGUAAGUCAUUAGUCAAAGACUAGAGCUCAAAUUUAGUAAGGCUAGUGAUACGAUAAUACGAGAGUAUCAGAGAGGAUUGCAGAAUUCCUGGUGUAGCGGUGAAAUGCGUAGAUAUCAGGAGGAAUACCGUUAGCGAAGGCGGCAAUCUGGCUGGAAACUGACGCUGAGGUGCGAAAGCGUGGGUAGCAAACAGGAUUAGAUACCCCGGUAGUC